This 468-nucleotide ribosomal RNA is filed under the name uncultured bacterium. RNAcentral's name for it is "partial 16S ribosomal RNA". It matches the Rfam family "Bacterial small subunit ribosomal RNA", at positions 28 to 507 of the family's 1533-position model. The record is from RNAcentral.
GACGAACGCUGGCGGCGUGCUUAACACAUGCAAGUCGAACGGAAAGGCCCUGCUUUUGUGGGUUGCUCGAGUGGCGAACGGGUGAGUAACACGUGAGUAACCUGCCCUUGACUUUGUGAUAACUUCAGGAAACUGGGGCUAAUACCGGAUAGGAGCUCCUGCUGCAUGGUGGGGGUUGGAAAGUUUCGGCGGUUGGGGAUGGACUCGCGGCUUAUCAGCUUGUUGGUGGGGUAGUGGCUUACCAAGGCUUUGACGGGUAGCCGGCCUGAGAGGGUGACCGGCCACCUUGGGACUGAGAUACGGCCCAGACUCCUACGGGAGGCAGCAGUGGGGAAUAUUGCACAAUGGGCGGAAGCCUGAUGCAGCAACGCCGCGUGCGGGAUGACGGCCUUCGGGUUGUAAACCGCUUUCGCCUGUGACGAAGCGUGAGUGACGGUACUGGGUAAAGAAGCACCGGCUAACUACGUG